ACAGCAAAAAUGCCAGUGUUGAUUUUUCAGUGUUAGUAGAAUUCAACAGAGUUCCGAGUUAGUUCAACACUUAAUCGAGUUAAAAUAACACAUCGGGAGUUGAUUCCUGAAAAGUGUUGGUGUGGAUUUUAGUCGUUACUGCAUUUUAACACUGUGGGUGUUAAAUUAGACCACACCUUCAUUUCCUGUGGAGCUUCGCAUUUCAGAAUCUUCGGUCGCCAUUUUUUCUUGCUGCUGCGGUAAGUUUUAUUCGGUUAAAUAUUAAGUUUUAGAUUGAUGUUAGAACAAGUAACAUGAUAACUAGUAAAAAAAAUAGUAUUUAUAUCAAAAUACAUCAUCUUUAAGUGUCAUAUUUGAAUUUUAACUGUUUUUUGUUUAGCUGGGCUACUGCUAGCUAGAACUCUGCAAAGUACCAGUUACUUUCCUAAUAUUCAUUUAGCAUAAUCUGGCUAUUGGCAGACUGUAAUGAAUAUUACUUAAUAUAUGUCACAGUUUUUAUUAAAUGCCUUUUAUUUAUUUUUUAAUUAAACUGCCAAAGCCUUAGGGUCAGUGGUCUCAAACUCCCGGCCCAGAGGCCACUUGCGGCCCACGUCACCCCUUCUUGCGGCCUGUAUAUUGAGGUGAAGAAGUAUAAUGCAAUUUGGCCCUUGAAGUGACUUUUUUUUGGUCAUUAGCCAAAAAUGAUUUAAUAUGAAGGCAAUAAGGGCAGAGUGUUACAGGCCCUCAUGGGCAGUGUAGUCCGUGCUGUAGGGAGAACGUUGUGUGUUUGAGCGCGAGUUAGGGAGAAAGUAGGAGCUGUUACCGAGGAGAAAUGGAAGAAGAAAGCAUGUAAAUAUAAUAAUAACCACUGCCGCCAAAAGGAGUGCCUGGUUGUAAGAAAGCUGUUAAGACUCGACUUUACACUGUGUUCGCUGACAGUAAAGCUACAAGCCCGACAACCCGACGUAUUAGCCAGAGGUCUCUUUACCACGGUUCAGAGCCGCGGACCUGGCCGAGGUAACAAGAGAGUACAAGCAUGUGGAGGGAUUGGCUUUGUUAGUUCAGUGAGAGUCAAAACUAAUGUGUACACUUAUUUUUAUUCUUAUUUUCUAGUCUAAAAAUGAAUAACAGGGUUAUAUUAGGGUUUGUUAGAGAGUGGGGAGGGUUUUUAUGGCUUAAAAUAUAUAAAAAAAUAGAAAUAUGGUUUCUACUGACCCCUGCAAUAAUUGAGAGAAUACUGUAUUGCAGUCAUGUUACACAGCUUGUACUACUUAAAGAUGGACCAAGGAUGUUUUUUCUUAACAAAAUGAAUUUUAGCUCAGUCUAAAGGGACUAGACAUGCUAGAUAUUUUGCAAAGAAAUGGUGUUAUAUGCUUGACCUUAUUCUACUCUUGGAAGGUGGUGAUAUGCUGGUUCCUGACAAGAGAUGAAGAAAUCAAAGUCAGCUUUUCAAGACAGCCCCAAGACUCCUCGCAACCUGUGUUCAAAUGUGAGGCUGUUGUCAGGUGAUGAAUGCAAGGAAGAGGCACUCAACUGACAUGAAACAUGUCAAAGACAACAUGAAGGUGACAUUUCAACAUAGGCAAAAAGUGGUUCAAGAACCUGCCACAGCUUCUACUGUCCUGGACCUUUUCCCAAGAGUUCUGUACACCUGGCUUGGUUGACCAAGACUUCACAAUGCUGUUUGUUGGGGAGGAAGUGUCUGCUAAGUUCCUUGCAAAGUGGCCAACCAAGCCAAGGAUCAUCAAAGAUUGCAAAAAUCUGUCUCAGAGUACAGAAUUGGAUGAGCUGCUCAUUUCUGCACAGCGUUACUCUGACGAGGGUGUUUGGGACUGCGAGGCGGCUGCCAGCUUUUGCUGCUUCACUUGUACCUCCAACAUCUAAGGGAGGGAAGUCUUCAAAGAUUAGCACAUCAGAUGCUGCUCACCACCUAAUGAAAUUCAUCAAGGUGGGAGGUAGCACGGAGGCUUUUCUUAAGGCUGGCCCCACUCAGCCAUUCGUCCUGUGUGUUGGAGAAAGAAAGAACAUCAUCCAGAGUUUCUACAUUGUCCUAGAUCAAAAGGUCAUUCCCUGUGUGACACAGAUGGGAGUUGCAGGUUUUGACAAGGCAAAACUUUUCAAGGCACAUUUUUUAUUUGCCGUGUCCUUUGACAAGGCAUUGAACAACUUCUACACAUUCAUCCAGACCACCGUGUAUGGCAUUGAUGUUGGCAGUGUGAAGGAGAGUCCUCGGGUCAGGGAAACAAGAGGAAGUCUUCAUUGUACAGUUUAAAGAUAUCCACUAUUCAGCACUUUGACUGGAAAUGUUCAUCUGUUACAUUUGCAAGAUACACCACACAAGUUGCUCAGUGUUAUUUAAACAUUUGAAGUUCCAGCAUGGUUUGUACCCAGGAAGGUUUUUACGUUUGACCUGUGGAGAGCCUGGAUGUUCAUUUAUCUUUCGCACGUACUCUGAUUACAAGCGGCACUUACUCCGAGCACAUGGAGACUGUCUUCACUCUGAGGUCAUCAAUACUUUUGAGCCUGUACCUAACGAUGGAACCUCUGUUUCACAGCCUGUAAAUGUGGCUCAUCCCAUGACAAUUGCUACACAGGUUCCAGUUGAAAAAAGGCAAAUACUGAACAUGUGCAGCUCUGUUAUUGCUCAGGUACAAUCAUCAGGAGUUCCUGAAAGUACUGUGCAGUGUUUAGUUGUUUCAUUGGAGGAACUGGUUAAUGACAUCCAUGCACAUGCAAAACAAUCUGUUGUUGACUGUUUGUCAACUGAUACCAUGAUACAGAUAUCAAGUUGGGAUGUAUGUUUGUUCUGGUGUUGAAAAUGAGAUGCCUUUGUUCAGUAAGAUUGUCAAUAUAAUUGUUAGAUUGCAUUGCUUAUCUUCUAACUUGUAAGGCUUCAACAGUAUAUUUCAAUGAUCACUUAAAUGCAUUUGUUAUUGAGGAUGGAUUAGAUGUCUUUGCACUGAUCUCUGUAGAUGAUCUGGUGUACUAUAGACCUUAUGAUAGGCAAUUUUCAAAUGGCACUGAUGACAAAAUGUACAUUGUCCCAUACUGUAAUUUUGUAUAACUUGUUUAUUUGUGGUGUAUCAGAAUACAAAGUAUUUUGGAACGUUAA
Long non-coding RNA from Oreochromis niloticus (Nile tilapia), 3091 nucleotides. RefSeq lists it as uncharacterized. The record is from RefSeq and is a predicted model, not a curated record. The transcript is spliced from 4 exons. Lineage: Eukaryota; Metazoa; Chordata; Actinopteri; Cichliformes; Cichlidae.